Molecule: ribosomal RNA, 497 nt
Filed under: uncultured bacterium
Lineage: Bacteria
Description: partial 16S ribosomal RNA
Rfam family: Bacterial small subunit ribosomal RNA
Source: RNAcentral
GAUGAACGCUGGCGGCGUGCCUAAUACAUGCAAGUCGAGCGAACAGACGAGGAGCUUGCUCCUCUGACGUUAGCGGCGGACGGGUGAGUAACACGUGGAUCACCUACCUAUAAGACUGGGAUCACUUCGGGAAACCGGCGCUAAUACCGGAUAAUCUAUUGAACCGCAUGGUUCAAUAGUGAAAGACGGUUUUGCUGUCACUUCUAGAUGGAUCCGCGCCUCAUUAGCUAGUUGGUAAGGUAACGGCUUACCAAGGCAACGAUGCGUAGCCGACCUGAGAGGGUGAUCGGCCACACUGGAACGGAGACACGGUCCAGACUCCUACGGGAGGCAGCAGUAGGGAAUCUUCCGCAAUGGGCGAAAGCCCGACGGAGCAACGCCGCGUGAGUGAUGAAGGUCUUCGGAUCGUAAAACUCUGUUAUUAGGGAAGAACAAAUGUGGAAGUAACUAUGCACGUCUUGACGGUACCUAAUCAGAAAGCCACGGCUAACUACGUG